Molecule: ribosomal RNA, 253 nt
Filed under: uncultured bacterium
Lineage: Bacteria
Description: partial 16S ribosomal RNA
Rfam family: Archaeal small subunit ribosomal RNA
Source: RNAcentral
UACCAGCACCCCGAGUGGUCGGGACGAUUAUUGGGCCUAAAGCAUCCGUAGCCGGUUCUACAAGUCUUCCGUUAAAUCCACCUGCUUAACUGAUGGGCUGCGGAGGAUACUAUAGAGCUAGGAGGCGGGAGAGGCAAGCGGUACUUAGUGGGUAGGGGUAAAAUCCGUUGAUCCAUUGAAGACCACCAGUGGCGAAGGCGGCUUGCCAGAACGCACUCGACGGUGAGGGAUGAAAGCUGGGGGAGCAAACCGG